GGUUGGGUGUAAGAGUGAUUUAUUGUGUCGGCCUUGAAAGCCGAUGGGGGUUAAUAGCCCUCCGUGGGUUUGAAUCCCACUCCAACCGCCA
Molecule: transfer RNA, 91 nt
Filed under: Prevotella sp.
Lineage: Bacteria; Pseudomonadati; Bacteroidota; Bacteroidia; Bacteroidales; Prevotellaceae
Description: tRNA-Ser
Rfam family: tRNA
About the family: Transfer RNA (tRNA) molecules are approximately 80 nucleotides in length. Their secondary structure includes four short double-helical elements and three loops (D, anti-codon, and T loops).
Source: RNAcentral